Molecule: long non-coding RNA, 278 nt
Filed under: Jatropha curcas
Lineage: Eukaryota; Viridiplantae; Streptophyta; Magnoliopsida; Malpighiales; Euphorbiaceae
Description: long non-coding RNA (JCUR_LNC002842)
Source: RNAcentral
CUUGACAUGGCUGAAUAUUGUCCGCUUUGGGCCCUUCCGUACGAGGUCACCCUCACGGUUUUGUUCUUGGGGGAAAUGGGAAACUUCCCAGGAGGUCACCCAUCCUAGGAUUUCCAUUAAGCGAGCACGCUUAACCCUGGAGUUCUUCCAACUCUCCAGCCAUUUCACCACCAAAACGCGUCCAACCAUUCAAGGCAUCACCCCUCUUAUGUACUGUCUGAACACCCUGUGCGUAGCCGAUGUGGGAUUCGCCUAAGGUGUAGUGCCCCAAACCUGGG